GACUUAACUUUAACGUUUGUUUAAGACAAUAACUAUCCUAUUUGUUUUCUACGGUGUCCAAUGUAAACUUUGCUAUCUUUCUUUUGUAAUGUGCUAUUUCUUUUAUGACUUGUUUUGAUGUGUGCCGUACAUCUAUGAGAAAAAAAAAGUAGCUUAGCGUCGGCCUGUUCGACUCUAUUAUAUGUGUUGACUUUUCAAAAAUUAACUUUAGAGUUAGAUGGGCCGAGGCUAAAUUAUUUUUUUUGACUUUCUAAAUAUUGACUUUAGAGUCGGAUUGACCGAGACUAGCUUAUUUUGUUGAAUUUCUAGAUGUUGACUUAUGUAACGCCACAUGUAAUUAGAGUCAGGUUUAAACUCGCCACAACUGACCCUAAAAGCUAUUUUUCUAGUAGUGUGUUUUGACGGAAUUUGGCCUGAGCAUUUAUUCAUAUUUUCUCAAAUAUCAUUGUCCACUGUCUAAUAGUUGAAACAAAUAUAAAGUAUCGCGUCUAGGAUAGUAUGAUACUUUUUUUUUCACCAUCAGUUUAAUCUAGUUCGAGGUCAGUUCUGCCACCAAAUAGUUUCAGUCCCCUCCUGAUUGUAGUUGCGGAGAUCGAACUAUAGUUCUCUCUAUCAAAUUUAGCGUCUAACGAUUGAUAUAUCGAUAGUUCUCUCUAUUUUAUUUUUUCUAAUAAAGUAUCGCUCAUGAUUUCUUUCCUUAAAUAACAGUGGUUUCACGUUCACCUAAACAAAAAAGGGAAAAUAAUAUAUGCACAUACAAUGUAAACUAAUUUUACACUGUCAUUCAAUACCAACAGUGUAUCCCGCCAAAUCGUCCCACUACACCCCACUUCUAUUAUAUGACAUGAAGAAAUACUUGAUUCUCAUUGGAUGUCAGUGUAGAAUUUAUUUACACUGGCAUAACAUAUCAAUUAAACUCGACAAAAAAAAAACUUGAUAAAUUCGAAGAAAACAUCAUAAAUUUUUAAAAACCUUCAUAAAUUUAUAAUCACCACCAUCAUCUUUCUUCUGUCUGUUUAAAAAUAUCUUGAAAAACUAAAGCUUUACCACACACAUUUGCGAAANNN
This 1067-nucleotide long non-coding RNA is filed under the name Trifolium pratense (red clover). RNAcentral's name for it is "long non-coding RNA (TPRA_LNC004653)". Lineage: Eukaryota; Viridiplantae; Streptophyta; Magnoliopsida; Fabales; Fabaceae. The record is from RNAcentral.